Molecule: ribosomal RNA, 252 nt
Filed under: uncultured bacterium
Lineage: Bacteria
Description: partial 16S ribosomal RNA
Rfam family: Bacterial small subunit ribosomal RNA
Source: RNAcentral
UACGAAGGGGCUAGCGUUGCUCGGAAUCACUGGGCGUAAAGCGCACGUAGGCGGCUUUCUAAGUCAGGGGUGAAAUCCUGGAGCUCAACUCCAGAACUGCCUUUGAUACUGGAGAGCUCGAGUCCGGAAGAGGUGAGUGGAACUGCGAGUGUAGAGGUGAAAUUCGUAGAUAUUCGCAAGAACACCAAUGGCGAAGGCAGCCACCUGGCAUAAUACUGACGCUGAGGCGCGAAAGCGUGGGGAGCAAACAGG